AGCGAACGCUGGCGGCGUGCCUAACACAUGCAAGUCGAGCGAAGGCAUGAGUGUAGCAAUACACUUAUGUACUUAGCGGCGGACGGGUGAGUAACACGUGGGUAACCUACCCUCGAGUGGGGAAUAACUAGCCGAAAGGUUAGCUAAUACCGCGUACGCUCCUUGGACUUCGGUUCAGGGAGGAAAGCGAUACCGUGGGUAUCGCGCUCUUGGAUGGGCUCAUGUCCUAUCAGCUUGUUGGUGAGGUAACGGCUCACCAAGGCUUCGACGGGUAGCUGGUCUGAGAGGACGAUCAGCCACACUGGCACUGCGACACGGGCCAGACUCCUACGGGAGGCAGCAGUAAGGAAUAUUGCGCAAUGGGCGAAAGCCUGACGCAGCGACGCCGCGUGGGGGAGUGAAGGUCUUCGGGUUGUAAACCUCUUUCAGCUCCGACGAAGCGAGAGUGACGGUAGGAGCAGAAGAA
Molecule: ribosomal RNA, 466 nt
Filed under: uncultured bacterium
Lineage: Bacteria
Description: bacterial SSU rRNA
Rfam family: Bacterial small subunit ribosomal RNA
Source: RNAcentral